RNAcentral lists this unclassified non-coding RNA (387 nucleotides) under soil metagenome. RNAcentral's name for it is "partial contains 5.8S ribosomal RNA, internal transcribed spacer 2, and large subunit ribosomal RNA". The stretch from base 1 to 120 matches the Rfam family "5.8S ribosomal RNA", at positions 35 to 154 of the family's 154-position model. The record is from RNAcentral.
GAUGAAGAACGUAGCGAAAUGCGAUAAGUAAUGUGAAUUGCAGAAUUCAGUGAAUCAUCGAAUCUUUGAACGCACAUUGCGCCCAUUAGUAUUCUAGUGGGCAUGCCUGUUCGAGCGUCAUUAAUUCCACUUAAGCCCUGCUUAGUGUUGGGAAUCUACUCUAGUGGUGCUACCCUGGAGCUACCCCUGAAAGGGGGCUGGCCCGGUAGUUACCCUGUAGUUCCUCAAAGAUAGUGUGCGGAGUUGCGUGGUCCUCUGAGCUUAGUAACUAUACACCUAGCUUUUGAGUGUCCCGCGGCGCCUGCCGUUUAAACCCCAUCUUUUAAUGGUUGACCUCGGAUCAGGUAGGAAUACCCGCUGAACUUAAGCAUAUCAAUAAGCGGAGGA